CCUACAUAUCAAUGUCAACUCUUUAGACAACAAAAAAUAAUUUGAGGCCCUUAAAGGCCUCCAAUCAAAGGUUUAGUACAAACUGUCAGAAAUGUAACAACAAAAUUUAGUGAACACAACUUGCUAAAAACUGGAAGAACGGGAAACCCCUAGUCCUUCACUGAUGUAGGCUAUGGUACAACCAACACAGAACCUAUUAGGAUGAGUUUAAGAGCAUUUGAUCGAAUGGCUUACCUAUAGACUGUGUGUUGAGCAGGCUAGUGCAUAUAUAACCCAUCUGUAAUCAGCUCCAUUCCAGCAAAUACAAAUUCAUGUAAAAUUCAACACACCUAGCUGGCUACUCGAACAAUUAAUCAAGAAACAAGCACCACCAUCCUCUCUCGAAGCAGCAAGCAGCAACCUGUCUGCAAGCAAUUUCUUAGUGCAAGUUCUUUAUUGCAGUCCCACAUAAAUACAAGCAACACUGCAUCUCAAUGGUUUGCUUACACAUUUCAUUAGAGCAAACAUUUUGUUACACCAGCUAUUCAGUUUGCUACAGUGCCAAAUUUAGUAUAAUAUAUCGAUGAUAAUGUGAUGCACCGGACAAGUGUUACUACUGAAGACCUCUAUUUCUCAUGAAAAAAAACAAGUGAUGCCUACUUCUCAAUCGGGGCUAGCAGCAAUCAGAUACAUGGGACUACAAUAGAGUAGUUUUUUAUUUUGCUACCAGAAACUCAUUUCAUGAAAACAAGUGAAGCUUACUUCUCUCAAUUGGAUAGCUGAUGCAUUGAUAUUGAAAUACUACAUGGUAAUUGGUAACUGUAUUUCAGUUCCUUCUUUAGCUACCUGAAACUCGUUUUAUGAAAACCUAGAAAUACAUUCCAACUCACCUUGGUUGUGUCGGCAAGAAGAGAGGAGCAACGGCAGCGUGGCAACAGGCAGAGAGCAGCACCACGCCACUACCCUUGAGUCUCGUCUUGUUUUCAUGUAUGAUCAUAUCCAUGCAAUUGAAACUAUAUCCAUAAAAAAUGUUUCUUCUUAACUUCAAAAACCAACAAUGCAUUAUUAAAAUAAUGUGAAUCCCAUAAAAGGCUGGUCUGAUAACAAGUAUUGAACACAAAAGGUACAGUCAACUAAUAGAGAACAAUUGCCCAAUCAAGAAAAAAAAAUAAGCCAUGUUUCAAACUAAAAACAAUGGAUCGAUGACCAUUUCCAGUAUAAGCAACAUGAAAAGACUGCAUUCUAGUAAGCACAAUUUUCUUCGCAAAAUUCACAUCUAGCUGUACACUUCAAGUUAGAAAUUUUCUUCCCAAUAAGUAAAAUAGUCAUGUGCCAUAAUCAAUAUUUAUUAGGAAGCUAGUGUGCUGGAGACAUAGGUUGUAAUUAGCUAGAUAUUUUUAAGCAUUGUGGUUAUUUUAAUUUGCAACCACUACGCAUAAAAUUGGACACCUAGGGAUAGUUUCCCUGUUGUUCAUCCGAAAGAAAAAAAAAUAAAAAUAAAGCAUUGCAUAGGAAAUUGUUUACCUGGAAAUGAGAUGUACACUGAUCGGUAUCGCUACACGGAUGAACGGAUCUGAACAACUCAGAUCGGAUCGCGCGAGCAGCAGCAGUGUAGCACGCUAGCAGCAGGGUGGGUGCUCAGCCUCGUUGAGGAAAGUGGUGGGGCGGCUCGGCGCAGCGUCGUCGGAGGGGUCGUCGUC
RNAcentral lists this long non-coding RNA (1679 nucleotides) under Sorghum bicolor (sorghum). Its description in RNAcentral is "long non-coding RNA (SBIC_LNC011286)". The record is from RNAcentral. Lineage: Eukaryota; Viridiplantae; Streptophyta; Magnoliopsida; Poales; Poaceae.